Molecule: ribosomal RNA, 405 nt
Filed under: uncultured fungus
Lineage: Eukaryota; Fungi
Description: SSU rRNA
Rfam family: Eukaryotic small subunit ribosomal RNA
Source: RNAcentral
CGUUUGAUUCUAUUUUGUUGGUUUCUAGGAUCGACGUAAUGAUUAAUAGGGAUAGUUGGGGGCAUUAGUAUUCAAUUGUCAGAGGUGAAAUUCUUGGAUUUAUUGAAGACUAACUACUGCGAAAGCAUUUGCCAAGGAUGUUUUCAUUAAUCAAGAACGAAAGUUAGGGGAUCGAAGACGAUCAGAUACCGUCGUAGUCUUAACCAUAAACUAUGCCGACUAGGGAUCGGAUGAUGUUAAUUUUUUAAUGACUCAUUCGGCGCCUUACGGGAAACCAAAGUGUUUGGGUUCCGGGGGGAGUAUGGUCGCAAGGCUGAAACUUAAAGGAAUUGACGGAAGGGCACCACCAGGGGUGGAGCCUGCGGCUUAAUUUGACUCAACACGGGGAAACUCACCAGGUCCAGA